UUUUUAAAUAAUUAAAAACAAACAAAAAAUCAAUUAAAUCAUGAAAAAUAUUAAUAAUAAUCCAAAAAAUAAUUUUAAUUCAAAAUAUGAAAGAAGAAUUAAUUUAAAUUUUUUUGGUGAAACUCUCAUAUUUUUUGGAUCAAUAUUAAAAUUAAUAUGAAUUAAUGAAAAUCAAAUGAUUAAAACACAAAUAAAAAAAUAAAAUAAAAACGUGAGCCACUUGAUCUCCCUCAUUAAUUGAGGUGGCAUAUCAAGUGGACAAA
This 263-nucleotide long non-coding RNA is filed under the name Lathyrus oleraceus (garden pea). Its description in RNAcentral is "Pisum sativum (pea) long non-coding RNA (PSAT_LNC015272)". Lineage: Eukaryota; Viridiplantae; Streptophyta; Magnoliopsida; Fabales; Fabaceae. The record is from RNAcentral.